Molecule: long non-coding RNA, 1774 nt
Filed under: Homo sapiens (human)
Lineage: Eukaryota; Metazoa; Chordata; Mammalia; Primates; Hominidae
Description: HSALNT0049859
Source: RNAcentral
GUCAGUAUUAUUUUUUUUAGGCAUUCUAAUGAGUUUGUUGUGAUUCCUCGUAGUGGCUUUUAUUUGCAUUUCACUAAUGGCUGAUAUUAAUGACAAGAGUAUUUUUCCAUCCGUUUAUUCACCUCCAUAUAUGUAUCUUUUGUGGCCAAGUAUCCGUUCAAGUCUUUUGUCCAUUUUUAAAAUUGGGUUGUUUGUUUUCUCACAGUUGAGAUUUGAGAAUUCUUGGUGUAUUCUGAUCACAAGUCCUUUGUUGGGUAUGAGUUUUGCAAACGUUUUCUCCUGGUCUGUAGCUUGUCUUUUUAUUCUUUUAACCAUGUCUUUCACAAAGCAAAAGUUUUAAAUUUUGAUGAAGUCUAAUUUAUCUUUUUCUUUUUAAUGAAUCAUGCUUUUGCUGUCUUAUCUAAGAACACUUUGCUUAAGACCAGGUCAUAAAUUUUUUUUUUUUUUGCCUAUGUUUUCUUCUAAAAAUCUUAUAGUUUAUGUUUUUCCAUUUAGGUCUAUGAUCCAUUUUGAGUUAAUCUUUGUAUAAGGUGUGAGGUUGAAGUUGAGGUUUUUUUUUUAUACAUAUAAGGAUAUUUAAUUGUUUCAACCCCAUUUGUUGAAAAGAUUAUCAUUUCUCCAUUGGAUUUAAAUCUUUUUCAAAAAUUAAUUGGCUAUAUUUGUUUGGGCUUAAUUCUGAAUUUCCUCUCCUGUUUCAUUGAUCCAUGUGUCAGUCCCUUUGCCAAUAUCACACUGAAUUGAUCACUGUGGCUUUACAGUAAAUCUUAAUACUCAGUAGUGUGAUUCCUCAAAAUUUAUUCUUCAUCAAAAUUGUUUUGGUUUUCUAAAUUCUUUUUCUUGCCAUAUAAAUUUUAGAAGCAGUUUGUCUACAUUUACAAAAGAUUCUGCUGAGACCUCUGUUGGAAUCAUGUUAAAUCUAUAAAUCAAUUUAGAGAGCACUGCCAUAUUUACUACGUUGAGUCUUCUAAUCCAUGAACAUGACUGCACAUACAUGGAUCCCAGGCUGCUUGAUACUGUUCUUCAUCCUCCUUCACAGACUCCAAAUACGUGGAUCCCAGGCUGCUUGAUACUGUUCUCCAUCCUCCUUCGCAGACUCCAGAUACGUGGAUCCUAUUACCCUAAUAUCGUUCUGCAGGUUGCUGAAGAUCUCUUCUUUUUCUUUUAGUCUUAUUCUCUCUGUGAUGCAUAUUGAAUUGUUUCUGUUUCACUCUUCAGGUUCAUUGAUCUUUCCUUCUGCAAUAUCUAACCUGCUGUAAAUACUAUUCAGUGUAUUUUAAAAACUCAGAUAUAUUUUUCAUUUCUACAAGUUUUUAAAAAUACCUUCUACUUCUCAUUAGGUUUUUUUCCCCUCAACAAUCUUGAUUAUAGGAGCAUAUUCAUAAUAGAUAAUUAAACAUUUGUAUCUGCUAAUUCUGUCAUUUCUGGUGCCUGUUUCUAUUGAUCUAUUUUUCUCCUGACUGUGAGUUAUAUGUUACUUCUUUGUAGACCUGAUAAUUUUUGACUGGGUAUUUUGGAGUUCUGGAUUCUGUUGUAUUAUUGAUAUACUCCUGUUGAGGAGUAUAGGAUUUUAUUCUGGCACAUGGCUCAAUGACUUAGGAUCAGUUUGAUCCUUUUAAGCUUUCUUUAAGAUCUGUUAGGGCAGGUCGACAUUAGUCUUUAGUUCAGCACUACUAAAGUGACACCCCACUGAGGACUCUAUGCAAUAGACUCCCAGCCCUGUUUGAGCUCCAGGAAGUGUUUGACUUACUGCUUUCUAGUGGUUCUUUCCCCAGCC